UACGUACUCCCUUCAUCCGGAAAUACUUGUCAUCAAAAUAAAUUAAAAAGGAUGUAUCUAGAUUUUAGUUCUAGAUAUAUUCUUUUUUAUUCAUUUUGAUGACAAGUAUUUUCGGACAGAAGGAGUACGUC
Molecule: non-coding RNA, 131 nt
Organism: Triticum aestivum (bread wheat)
Lineage: Eukaryota; Viridiplantae; Streptophyta; Magnoliopsida; Poales; Poaceae
Source: Rfam